RNAcentral lists this ribosomal RNA (497 nucleotides) under uncultured bacterium. RNAcentral describes it as "partial 16S ribosomal RNA". It matches the Rfam family "Bacterial small subunit ribosomal RNA", at positions 28 to 507 of the family's 1533-position model. The record is from RNAcentral.
GAUGAACGCUGGCGGCGUGCCUAAUACAUGCAAGUCGAGCGAACGGACGAGAAGCUUGCUUCUCUGAUGUUAGCGGCGGACGGGUGAGUAACACGUGGAUAACCUACCUAUAAGACUGGGAUAACUUCGGGAAACCGGAGCUAAUACCGGAUGAUCUUUUGAACCGCAUGGUUCAAAAGUGAAAGACGGUCUUGCUGUCACUUAUAGCUGGAUCCGCGCUGCAUUAGCUAGUUGGUAAGGUCACGGCUUACGAAGGCAACGAUGCGUAGCCGACCUGAGAGAGUGAUCGCCGGCAUGAGAACGUGAACACCGUCCAGAGUCCUAAGGGAGGCAGCAGUAGCGUAUCGUACGCAGUGGGCGAAAGCAUUACGGAACAACGGCGAGUGAGUGAUGAAGGUGUUGGGUGCGUAAUGCUCUGUUAUUAGUGAAGAACAGAUGUGUAAGUAGCUGUGGAGAGCUUGACGGUAACGAGUCAGAAAGCCCCGGCUAACUACGUG